AAGCGCUUGCAACCAGACUUGCGCGCGACGGUUCCCCCUUCCUUCUGGUUGGGCUACUCCGUCGUGUCCAGGCCAGCAUCAGUUCGGGCGGUUGGAUAAAGGCUCUGGGAAUGUAGCUCUCUCCGGGGAGUGUUAUAGCUCAGGGUGUCAUGCAGCCAGCCUGGACUGAGGUCCGCGCUUCGGCUAGGAUGCUGGCGUAAUGGCCGCAAGCGG
RNAcentral lists this ribosomal RNA (213 nucleotides) under Pleosporales sp. RNAcentral's name for it is "partial large subunit ribosomal RNA". The record is from RNAcentral. Lineage: Eukaryota; Fungi; Ascomycota; Dothideomycetes; Pleosporales.